This 474-nucleotide ribosomal RNA is filed under the name Streptococcus sp. oral taxon 070. RNAcentral describes it as "bacterial SSU rRNA". It matches the Rfam family "Bacterial small subunit ribosomal RNA", at positions 28 to 485 of the family's 1533-position model. The record is from RNAcentral. Lineage: Bacteria; Bacillati; Bacillota; Bacilli; Lactobacillales; Streptococcaceae.
GACGAACGCUGGCGGCGUGCCUAAUACAUGCAAGUAGAACGCUGAAGCUUGGUGCUUGCACCGAGCGGAUGAGUUGCGAACGGGUGAGUAACGCGUAGGUAACCUGCCUGGUAGCGGGGGAUAACUAUUGGAAACGAUAGCUAAUACCGCAUAAAAUGGAUUAUCGCAUGAUAAUCGAUUGAAAGGUGCAAAUGCAUCACUACCAGAUGGACCUGCGUUGUAUUAGCUAGUUGGUGGGGUAACGGCUCACCAAGGCGACGAUACAUAGCCGACCUGAGAGGGUGAUCGGCCACACUGGGACUGAGACACGGCCCAGACUCCUACGGGAGGCAGCAGUAGGGAAUCUUCGGCAAUGGACGGAAGUCUGACCGAGCAACGCCGCGUGAGUGAAGAAGGUUUUCGGAUCGUAAAGCUCUGUUGUAAGAGAAGAACGAGUGUGAGAGUGGAAAGUUCACACUGUGACGGUAUCUACCA